This 67-nucleotide transfer RNA is filed under the name Longitarsus tabidus. RNAcentral describes it as "tRNA-His". The record is from RNAcentral. Lineage: Eukaryota; Metazoa; Arthropoda; Insecta; Coleoptera; Chrysomelidae.
AUCUAAAUAGUUUAAUUAAUAAAAUAUUGAUUUGUGGUAUCAAAGAUAUAAAAAAAAAUUUUAGAUU